Molecule: ribosomal RNA, 776 nt
Filed under: uncultured Rhodocyclus sp.
Lineage: Bacteria; Pseudomonadati; Pseudomonadota; Betaproteobacteria; Rhodocyclales; Rhodocyclaceae
Description: bacterial SSU rRNA
Rfam family: Bacterial small subunit ribosomal RNA
Source: RNAcentral
CAUGGGCCGACGUCGCAUGCUCCGGCCGCCAUGGCGGCCGCGGGAAUCGAUUAGAGUUUGAUCAUGGCUCAGAUUGAACGCUGGCGGCAUGCCUUACACAUGCAAGUCGAACGGCAGCACGGGGGCAACCCUGGUGGCGAGUGGCGAACGGGUGAGUAAUACAUCGGAACGUGCCCUGAAGUGGGGGAUAACGUAGCGAAAGUUACGCUAAUACCGCAUAUUCUGUGAGCAGGAAAGCAGGGGAUCGCAAGACCUUGCGCUUUAGGAGCGGCCGAUGUCGGAUUAGCUAGUUGGUGAGGUAAAGGCUCACCAAGGCGACGAUCCGUAGCGGGUCUGAGAGGAUGAUCCGCCACACUGGGACUGAGACACGGCCCAGACUCCUACGGGAGGCAGCAGUGGGGAAUUUUGGACAAUGGGCGCAAGCCUGAUCCAGCCAUGCCGCGUGAGUGAAGAAGGCCUUCGGGUUGUAAAGCUCUUUCGGCGGGGAAGAAAUCGCACAGGUUAAUACCCUGUGUGGAUGACGGUACCCGAAUAAGAAGCACCGGCUAACUACGUGCCAGCAGCCGCGGUAAUACGUAGGGUGCGAGCGUUAAUCGGAAUUACUGGGCGUAAAGCGUGCGCAGGCGGUUUUGUAAGUCAGAUGUGAAAUCCCCGGGCUCAACCUGGGAACUGCAUUUGAGACUGCAGGGCUAGAGUGUGGCAGAGGGGGGUAGAUUUCACGUGUAGCAGUGAAAUGCGUAGAGAUGUGGAGGAACACCAAUGGCGAAGGCAGCCCC